GUUGUUUCAAAAAAUUGUGCAGAAUUUACUAUGUCAUGUUAAGAAUAUUUUAAAACUGUUUAGCCCCGACAAAUGAUGUAAGAGUUUUCAAGUUUAUUUCAGAUAAAUAUGCCGAUAGCAAUAGUAAUGUCAUGGGCGAGCUGUGGCAUGUUGAAGACACGCAAGGAGAAGUCUAUGAGUUUUGACGCCCAUAAGUAUGUCAAUCUUGGUGGUGUCUUGCUAAAGCUACUCAGUAAGCUCCCAUUAUGUGUUGUCAGAGCUCAAAUGAUGUUUAUUUUAGGAAUACAGUCUAAUGAUUAUAUUAAAUUAUCUUUUUAUGUAAGAAAUCCACGCUUAUUAAUAAAGAUUAUUAUUAUAUAAAUAAUUUUGGACCUGACUUUACGCCAUCUUUGGAAAAGUUAGAUCCUAUACUUUACCAAGUUUUGUUAUUGUGCUCUAAAGCAUUUUCAAGUUCCCAUUGAUUGUUAUGAACAGAGACUGGCCAAAAGAUUAAGGUAAAAGGGCUUGUUUGAAAUAUUGAAAAACUUUGUAUGGGACUCAGGGAAAGGGAGAGCAGUUCGAGCUAUUAAAAGGAGAAUUAGGUGCUGCAAAAGGGAUAUACGAAUUAUGUUGAAGCUUCAAGACUGUGCUUCCCAUCUCCUCUUCUGAAUAUGCACCUUAUCCCCUUUCUUCGAUGAGGAAUUAUGGGUUUGUGACAUUGGUGCUUUUAUUGAGAGGAAUCCAACAGCGACGAUGUUUCUACCUUGAUUCAGUGGCGACGACAUCUAGAUAGCUGGAUUUUUCGGGCCGAGUUGUACUUCACAUGCCUUGGCUUCUUCAACAAGGAUUGGCUGCCUCUUCCUUCCUUCUAUCUAGAAGGCGAUGCCCUAGCGUGGUUCGAUUUGUUACUUCACAACAACCAAUUUUAUUAUUGGAACCAUUUCAAGGAGAAGUUUCUUCUGCAUUUUCAGAAACGGACCUUCACUGAUUCGUCGAGAGUGGCAGUUACUUCACAAGCUUGUGUUGACUACCUGAAUUGCGCUACAUUGGUUCCACCAGUGACCUCUGAGUUUGCCUCUACUCAAAUCCCCGAAACUCACGAACCCAAAUCUCGUCUAGUUAAUGGAGACAAGAAUGCGGCUGUCGUAGAUGAGGUAUUUGAUGAAAAUCCCCAAAGUAGUGAACGUGAUAUGCAUAUCUCAGUUUUCAAAGGAUGAAGCUCAGUUAGUUUCUCUUGUUGGCCGAGAUUAUUUUGUGCCUAAAGAGAUGGAACAAUUUGAGAUUUUGUCUAUAGCAUUUGAGGAACUUUUAGAUGCAAUGAAGACAAACUCUGAUUCAGACGAUGGAAAAUCAGAGGAAGACCACAGAGACUGCACUAAGGUGGAGGAAAAUUCAAGCAACUCUGCAGAUCAGGUGUUCGCUAUAAGUCCUCAACGAGAUACUGCCGCACAGCUCCGUCACAUUGCAACUAUGAUGUUGGAUCCUUUCUCUAGCUUGAUCCUAGGUGAUAAGUUUCCUAUUGGUUGAAUACUUGUUGUGCCUGUUAAUAUCAAUUUGGACGAUUGUCAUAUACUUGGUACUUGUUAUUGCUGUCAACCGAGGGCUUGUGCAUCUUUCGACUAUGUGUCUAGAUCACCUAUAGGGACUAUUCCAUUUUGUAGUUGUGUGGAAAAUUGGUUCGACACAAGGCAAGAUUUUAAGGCUGAUUCAUGUGUUGAAUCUGAAGAUUUAACACAAAUUGAGGGAUUUCUUCCACUUAUCACCACAACAGAUUUAGAUGGUGAAUGUGCCGAGAUUGCAGAGUUUUCUCUUUGCUCAUUAAAUCAAUCAUUUGGUCCUUACUGCCUCCUGGUUUUCGGAAUGCCGCAACACAUAAGAGCUUGAAAAAUAGAGUGGUAUUCUCUGGAUGCCAAGCUUCGGGAGGUACACAAAUUUAUGUAGUGCCGCAUGAACAUCUGGAACGAGCUAUGUAAAUGCCUCCUCUGUUGAUAGCAGACCUCCUAAAUGGAUACUUGAAUUGGCGAUAUUUAAAGACAUGUAUCUUGCUGAAUUUUUUAUGGACCCCAUAAUUUUUGAAGAUCAAUAUCUUGAUAAUUUUGGUACAAAGAAAGAGGGUGUCAUUUUGACUAGUGCAAGACAUUCUGUUAAAGUACUUCUUGAAUAUGUAAAUGAAAGUUAUGCUAGGGAUUCAAUGAUAAACGUAUUUUGAGUCAAUUUUCAUGUGUUAAUGGUGCUAAUUUCUUUAUAGCAACUGUUCAAGCAACUGCGCCAGCUCUUAGUGUAUGGGAUCCUGAAAUAAGUUUUGAGUUCUUGGCUCUAAAAGAUUCUACAAAGUAUGUGGCGGUCUUUUUAUUACUGGUACUAGCAGGUUGUGCGUCAUUGCCUAUUCUAACUCUAAGACUAGAGUGUGGGAUCCGGGACAACCAUGGUUUGCGCAUUCCUAAAAUCUGCAGUAUGAUUUGGCACUGUUAGUUACUACUUUACCAAAGGUUACUCAUUUUUAUAUUGCUGAUUGGACUUUUGUGAGGUCUCAAGCACAUAUGGACAUUGCUUUACCUGACAGCUAUUCUUAUGAUGACAAAAAUAAAAGUUUUCUUCCUUGUUUUCUUACGAUAGCCUUAUUCCUUCAUGUAGCUAAUUCCUCUGGAGAAUUGCUUUUGGCCAAGGGUGACACUGCGCUGUUAAGAAACAUCAUAUGCCAAAGUAUAAAAGUUGCUAUACUUGGGGAUAUGCUUGAAGUUGGUCCAACAGAAUUCACGUUCAAUGAGUUGCUAUUACUGUUUUGAUGUGACGCCCAUUUUUAUGUACUUGCACUUGGUGAAACGAGGUUUCUCAUAGUAAGCAAGAAUAUAUAUUGUGCAGGGGAGAUCAAGCUGGUAUGCAUUAAUGAUGCUCAUUACAUGACUUCUGAAAUUAUUAAUUAUGUAAUUACAGGUGAUGUUAUCCUUGACAAUGACAAUAGUCAAAGGUAAUUAGGAUUGAUUUUGGACCUUGUCAACCUUAUUUCCCCUACAACACUAUGUUGUGUAAUGGUUAGCAAGAAUGCGUCAACUGAAUCAUCUUCAAUGAGUCUGGAUUGCUUGAAAAUAAGGUUCAUAUAUGCACUUAUUCUUGGGAGUAUCUGUCAAAUGCUUGCCAGGCUGCUCUACAACCCAAUAUUUUCUUGAUCUCCAAUAUGUUAUUGAUGAUGAUGGAAGGCGCUAUGGUCCUUUGUGGACAACGAGUUCUAUUAAGGAACCCCAAGAUCAUUCUACUUAUUGAGUCCACCAUUGUUCUUGCUACUGGUUUGCAUAGAAUUGUCGAGGAAACUCAAGUCAAGUGUGACCCUCCUCAUGGCAAGAUGCUAGCUUGUUGUCGUAUGGUUAGUGCUGACAUUUUCCCAAAGGUUGUCAAUGUUGUGUUGGCCAACAUCUCAUGUCACCUUGACACAGUGAUAGAUCACAUCUUUUCUUAUCACAGAGACUACCUUCGUAUAGUCACAAUUGGCGGAACAAGUGUUACUAACAUUGUUCUUAACCCGAACCUUAAGGACAAGGUUCUUAUUGAGGAAAGGAGUAUUGUUAUGAACGAGAUUGGCCAAAAGACUAAGGUAAAAGACUUGUUUGAGAUAUUAGAAAACUUUGUAUGGGACCCAGGAAAGAGAGAGCAGUCAAGCUAUUAAAAGGAGAAUUAGGUGUUGCAAAAGGGAUGUACGAAUUAUGUUCAAGCU
Molecule: long non-coding RNA, 3688 nt
Organism: Nicotiana attenuata
Lineage: Eukaryota; Viridiplantae; Streptophyta; Magnoliopsida; Solanales; Solanaceae
Exons: 2
Source: RefSeq, a predicted model, not a curated record